Molecule: ribosomal RNA, 201 nt
Filed under: Dipylidium caninum
Lineage: Eukaryota; Metazoa; Platyhelminthes; Cestoda; Cyclophyllidea; Dipylidiidae
Description: partial 5.8S ribosomal RNA
Rfam family: 5.8S ribosomal RNA (bases 5-157)
About the family: 5.8S ribosomal RNA (5.8S rRNA) is a component of the large subunit of the eukaryotic ribosome. It is transcribed by RNA polymerase I as part of the 45S precursor that also contains 18S and 28S rRNA. Functionally, it is thought that 5.8S rRNA may be involved in ribosome translocation.
Source: RNAcentral
AACUAACUGUAUGCGGCGGAUCACUCGGCUCGUGUGUCGAUGAAGAGUGCAGCCAACUGUGUGAAUUAGUGUGAAUCGCAGACUGCUUUGAACGUCGACAUCUCGAACGCGCUUUGCGGCCACAGGCUUGCCUGUGGCCACGUCUGUCCGAGCGUCGGCUUAUAAACUAUCGCUACGCGUAACAAGUAGCGGCUUGGAGGA